CUUGUCUUCAGGAUCACUUGCAUAAUCAGAAGGUGAAAGAUCCCCAGACAUUUGAGAAGCAACUUUCAAAACCAUUGGAUUUCUUGCAAUAGAUGAAAUACUAAACCUUUAGAAUCUUUCGACAUCCAGCAAUGUACCUUACAGAAACUUCUAGAAGCGAGGGACCAGCAUCGCCGAACGACGGCCCGGUCCGAUCGAGCCUCCGAUUCCCAAUCGCCCGGCGAUUCGCAAUGGAGCAAGCGGCGAUCGACGGGGCGCCGCGGGCAUUACCGGCGGAGGAACCGAAAACCCGCCCCGGGCGGGAGGGGCGGGCGCGGGCGGGCGGGCGGGCGGCGGCGGGGGGCUGCGGGGCGGGGAGCGGCUGGAGAAUCAGAGGCCGGAGGGGGUAGGGGGGAGUGCGCGCGCGGAGUAAAGGAUUUCGCCGGCGAGCGAGAGAGAGAGAGAGAGAGAGAGAGAGUUUUUGCGUGGGAGAGAGGUGAGUACUCGCAGUUGGUGGGUUUGAAGCUGCGGAGAGAGAGGAAAA
This is a long non-coding RNA of Syzygium oleosum, 523 nucleotides long. RefSeq lists it as uncharacterized. The record is from RefSeq and is a predicted model, not a curated record. Lineage: Eukaryota; Viridiplantae; Streptophyta; Magnoliopsida; Myrtales; Myrtaceae. The transcript is spliced from 2 exons.